AGCUUCGACCAGGGUUCGAUUCGAGCGCAGCGAGAAAGCGUUGCCGCAGGCAACGACCCGAAGGGCGAAGCGCGCAGCGCUGAGUCAUCCUUCCCCCACCACCA
This 104-nucleotide small RNA is filed under the name Salmonella enterica. RNAcentral describes it as "partial RtT sRNA". It matches the Rfam family "RtT RNA", at positions 28 to 130 of the family's 130-position model. From Rfam's summary of the family: This family represents a bacterial cis-regulatory element known as RtT RNA. The exact function of RtT is unknown although it is thought that it may be involved in changing the cellular response in relation to amino acid starvation. Lineage: Bacteria; Pseudomonadati; Pseudomonadota; Gammaproteobacteria; Enterobacterales; Enterobacteriaceae. The record is from RNAcentral.